This 78-nucleotide non-coding RNA is filed under the name Methylophaga thalassica MP. RNAcentral's name for it is "Methylophaga aminisulfidivorans MP c-di-GMP-I riboswitch aptamer". It matches the Rfam family "c-di-GMP-I riboswitch aptamer". From Rfam's summary of the family: GEMM was predicted in a large-scale screen for bacterial structured RNA regulatory elements. Genes associated with GEMM are involved in a diverse array of functions, including chemotaxis regulation, signal transduction, secretion and chitin. The record is from Rfam by way of RNAcentral. Lineage: Bacteria; Pseudomonadati; Pseudomonadota; Gammaproteobacteria; Thiotrichales; Piscirickettsiaceae.
GAACAGUUAAGCCAACCUUGGUGUGAGCCAUGUGACGGAAAGCCACGGAUCUUUUUUAAAGAUGGCCGGGUUGCAUAG